UGAGAUCAUGACCUGAGCUGAAACCAUGAGUUGGAUGCUUAACCAACUGAGCCAUCAAGUAAAUGGCAGUAAAUCUUGGUAGUAAAUCUUGAGAAGUGGUUGGACUUUGAGUCCAACCCUCAAAUAAGACAUCAUCUUGGAGACAGAGGGGAGAGCUGGAUGGAAGAUGAAGGGGAGUUUGGCUCUACAAGGCACUUGGGGAAGAUGCGAUGGCAAAGGAAGAACCAGUGAAGUCUCCAUUCAAAGCCACUCUACCAUUUUCACAGAGGAAGAGCCCUCAGUGCUAUGAGAUCAAUGAAUAAUCUAUCCUAGAGUCCAUUGCAAUCCAAAGAACUGGACUAGCUUGGGCUCUUUUCUUCUCCUUGACUUUUCAGUAGUUAGGAAAUAAUUAUUCAUACUCGUUCCAUCAAAAUCCCUUACUUGCCUGAGUUCUUCCUCAGUGAAAGAUUGGAACUGGAUUAAACUCUUUUCCCUCAACGACUUCUCAGUUACAGUUUCCCUAAGCCUUGAAUGACCUUUGAGUUGUCUGCCCCGUGUUCUCCCGGGUUAAAGAAUAGUCAGAUUUUUGUCUCAUCCUGUUCGAAGCUGGUGUUCUUAACGGUCCGGGAACUCCAUUCGGUCGUGCCAUUGUCAGUGUGGCACUGGUCCUGCCCUGGUGAGGACGAGUGCCAGCAUUUCUGCAAGCAGCUUGAUGAGGGGGGCUCGUUAGGGGCCAAACUCAUCAAGCUCAACCUCUCAGCCUAGAGGCAGAGCAAGUCACUUUCCAAGAGACUGCUGGUCCUGCGAUUGUGUUGCCUUUUGGAGGUGGUUUUACUUUUUUUUAAAUUUUUUUUUAUUUCUCCUUCUGAAGUCCAGCUCGUUGGCCCAUUUCAAGUUGCUUCUGAUCUUUAACUGCUGCUCCUCAGCCCCUUGAAUCCAUCCUUGGGGAGGCUUUCAUUGGUCACUUUGCAGAGUCCCCUCAGGCCAAGAAAGCCUCCCUCACUUUGUUUCUACUUAACCCUUGCCCUUCCUGGUGGUGAGGGGCCAUCUCUGGGCCGCCUCCCUUGUAGUCUGUUAUUAUUUGCAGGUGAUUAGCAGGUGGCUUCUAAGCAGAAAGGAACAUUGCCCCAGGCUCCGCUCUCCCAUAGGCUCUUGCCAUUUUGCUACAAAAGAGAAAAAUCGAGCCUUUGAACAGUGUAUAUAUACUAUUCAUGUCCUCAGGAAGAGAGGAAUGUCUAUAAAAUUUCAGGGACAGUAUUAGAUUUUACUCAGUUAUCAGAGGGCUGAACUAUUGGGUUAUGGUGCGGAUUGCUUUUGGAAUUAAAAAGAAGCAGUUGCCCUAGCUAGGCGUCGGGUCUUUUAGUAAGAGCUUAUUUGAGAAUUUCUCUCUAGACACUAAUCCCCCAACAAGUUGUAUUCCAGUGAGACAGAGUGUCCAUGAGAUCUAGUAAUUGGGGCUGUGUUGAGCUAUUCUUCUUGCUGGGGGAGCCAGCCUGGUGACAGCACGCCGUGUUCAGCAUUCCACCUGCACGCCGGCUACUCAUUUGACCACAUGAAAGCUCCCUUCCCUACCUCAGUCCUCCAGGCUUUUUUGUCACCGACUCUGCUACCUUCGGAUCCCCCAGGGGAAAUAUUAUAUGCUUCUUUCAACAUCUUGAGCUACUGUCCAUGGCAUUAAGUGAAACACAUAUAUAUAUAUAUAUAUAUAUAUAUUUUUUUUUUUUUUUUUUUUUUUUUUUUCCCCUGAACCAUUGCUGCAAAUGCUGUGUCCUGCUAGGCUCUUCCCUCCCAAAAGGAGCCAGUUCAUUCACCUGAGUUUUAAAUUGCCAGUUUGUCUCCUAUUGCUUUUUAGUUGAAAAAUAAAAUUAAAAGCCCA
Long non-coding RNA from Canis lupus familiaris (dog), 1855 nucleotides. RefSeq lists it as uncharacterized. The record is from RefSeq and is a predicted model, not a curated record. Lineage: Eukaryota; Metazoa; Chordata; Mammalia; Carnivora; Canidae. The transcript has 2 exons.